This 700-nucleotide ribosomal RNA is filed under the name uncultured Burkholderiaceae bacterium. RNAcentral's name for it is "bacterial SSU rRNA". It matches the Rfam family "Bacterial small subunit ribosomal RNA", at positions 63 to 758 of the family's 1533-position model. Lineage: Bacteria; Pseudomonadati; Pseudomonadota; Betaproteobacteria; Burkholderiales; Burkholderiaceae. The record is from RNAcentral.
CGAACGGCAGCACGGGGGCAACCCUGGUGGCGAGUGGCGAACGGGUGAGUAAUACAUCGGAACGUGUCCUUUCGUGGGGGAUAACCAGUCGAAAGACUGGCUAAUACCGCAUGAGAUCUCACGAUGAAAGCGAGGGACCGCAAGGCCUCGCGCGAUUGGAGCGGCCGAUGUCGGAUUAGCUAGUUGGCGGGGUAAAAGCCCACCAAGGCGACGAUCCGUAGCUGGUUUGAGAGAACGACCAGCCACACUGGGACUGAGACACGGCCCAGACUCCUACGGGAGGCAGCAGUGGGGAAUUUUGGACAAUGGGCGCAAGCCUGAUCCAGCCAUGCCGCGUGUGUGAAGAAGGCCUUUGGGUUGUAAAGCACUUUCGGCCGGAACGAAAUCGCCUCCGUUAAUAGCGGGGGUGGAUGACGGUACCGGAAGAAGAAGCACCGGCUAACUACGUGCCAGCAGCCGCGGUAAUACGUAGGGUGCGAGCGUUAAUCGGAAUUACUGGGCGUAAAGGGUGCGCAGGCGGUUGCGCAAGCCAGGCGUGAAAUCCCCGGGCUUAACCCGGGAAUGGCGCUUGAAACUACGUGACUGGAGUAUGGCAGAGGGAGGUGGAAUUCCACGUGUAGCGGUGAAAUGCGUAGAGAUGUGGAGGAACACCGAUGGCGAAGGCAGCCUCCUGGGCCAAUACUGACGCUCAUGCACGAAA